CCUACGGUGUGCAGCAGUGGGGAAUAUUGCACAAUGGGGGAAACCCUGAUGCAGCGACGCCGCGUGAGUGAAGAAGUAAUUCGUUACGUAAAGCUCUAUCAGCAGGGGAGAAACACUGACCUUACGGUCAGCAGACGGUACCUGAGUAAGAAGCCCCGGCUAACUACGUGCCAGCAGCCGCGGUAAUACGGAGGAUGCGAGCGUUAUCCGGAUUUAUUGGGUUUAAAGGGUGCGCAGGCGGAAUGUCAAGUCAGCGGUAAAAUUUCGGGGCUCAACCCCGUCGUGCCGUUGAAACUGGCGUUCUUGAGUGAGCGAGAAGUAUGCGGAAUGCGUGGUGUAGCGGUGAAAUGCAUAGAUAUCACGCAGAACUCCGAUUGCGAAGGCAGCAUACCGGCGCUCAACUGACGCUCAUGCACGAAAGCGUGGGUAUCGAACAGGAUUAGAUACCCGGGUAGUC
This 457-nucleotide ribosomal RNA is filed under the name uncultured bacterium. RNAcentral describes it as "partial 16S ribosomal RNA". It matches the Rfam family "Bacterial small subunit ribosomal RNA", at positions 338 to 795 of the family's 1533-position model. The record is from RNAcentral.